GUCUACAGCCAUGCCACUCUGAACAAGCCCGAUCUCGUCUGAUCUCGGAAGCUAAGCAGGGUUGGGCCUGCUUAGUACUUGGAUGGGAGACUUCCUAGGAAGAUCAGGUGAUGCGGGAG
This is a ribosomal RNA of Pteropus vampyrus (large flying fox), 119 nucleotides long. The record is from Ensembl. NCBI's taxonomy places the organism in Eukaryota, Metazoa, Chordata, Mammalia, Chiroptera, Pteropodidae.